RNAcentral lists this ribosomal RNA (498 nucleotides) under uncultured bacterium. RNAcentral describes it as "partial 16S ribosomal RNA". It matches the Rfam family "Bacterial small subunit ribosomal RNA", at positions 28 to 523 of the family's 1533-position model. The record is from RNAcentral.
GACGAACGCUGGCGGCGUGCCUAACACAUGCAAGUCGAGCGGAGUCAGUAAGAGGAAGUUUUCGGAUGGAAUCUUAUUGAUUUAGCGGCGGACGGGUGAGUAACGCGUGAGCGACCAACCUUGCACAGGGGGAUAACGGACCGAAAGGUUCACUAAUACCGCAUGAGACCACGGUGUUGCAUGACACAGGGGUCAAAGGAGCAAUCCGGUGCAAGACGGGCUCGCGUCCGAUUAGGUAGUUGGAGGGGUAACGGCCCACCAAGCCUAUGAUCGGUAGCCGACCUGAGAGGGUGAUCGGCCACAUUGAAACUGAGAUACGGUCCAAACACCUACGGGAGGCAGCAGUGGGGAAUAUUGGGCAAUGGGGGAAACCCUGACCCAGCAACGCCGCGUGAAGGAAGAAGGUUUUCGGAUUGUAAACUUCUGUCCUUGGUGAAGAGAAGAAGACGGUAGCCAAGGAGGAAGCCCCGGCUAACUACGUGCCAGCAGCCGCAGUAA